GCCUAGCCCUGAUUGAAGCAUUUGUUUGAGCUCAUUUUUGCUUAUUCGGCUGCGGCGGCUUCGCCGCCGCAGCCGAAUAAGCAAAAAUAGCGAGUGCGGAAAGCGGGAAAAAGC
This 114-nucleotide unclassified non-coding RNA is filed under the name Chryseobacterium taichungense. RNAcentral's name for it is "Flavo-1 RNA". Lineage: Bacteria; Pseudomonadati; Bacteroidota; Flavobacteriia; Flavobacteriales; Weeksellaceae. The record is from RNAcentral.